GCAGGUACAGAGGGAUGCUACCGGGCGACCGGAUGCGGAUCUCGAAAGCCUGUCCCAGUUCGGACUGGAGUCUGCAACCCGACUCCACGAAGUUGGAUUCGCUAGUAAUCGCGCAUCAGCCAUGGCGCGGUGAAUACGUUCCCGGGCCUUGUACACACCGCCCGUCAAGCCAUGGGAGCCGGGGGCGCCUGAAGUCCGGGACCGCGAGGACCGGCCUAGGGCGAAACUGGUAACUGGGGCUAAGUCGUAACAAGGUAGC
RNAcentral lists this ribosomal RNA (259 nucleotides) under uncultured bacterium. RNAcentral's name for it is "partial 16S ribosomal RNA". It matches the Rfam family "Bacterial small subunit ribosomal RNA", at positions 1233 to 1500 of the family's 1533-position model. The record is from RNAcentral.